AACGAACGCUGGCGGCAGGCCUAACACAUGCAAGUCGAACGCCCUAGCAAUAGGGAGUGGCGCACGGGUGCGUAACGCGUGGGAAUAUGCCCUUGACUGCGGGACAACAUCGGGAAACUGAUGCUAAUACCGCAUAAUGACUCCGGUCCAAAGAUUUAUCGGUCAAGGAUUAGCCCGCGUCUGAUUAGCUAGUUGGUGGGGUAAUGGCUCACCAAGGCGACGAUCAGUAGCUGGUCUGAGAGGAUGAUCAGCCACACUGGGACUGAGACACGGCCCAGACUCCUACAGGAGGCAGCAGUGAGGAAUAUUGGACAAUGGGCGCAAGCCUGAUCCAGCCAUGCCGCGUAAGUGACGAAGGCCUUCGGGUUGUAAAGCUCUUUCAGAUGCGAAGAUAAUGACGGUAACAUCAGAAGAAGCCCCGGCUAAAUUCGUGCCAGCCGCCGCCGUAA
This 449-nucleotide ribosomal RNA is filed under the name uncultured bacterium. RNAcentral's name for it is "partial 16S ribosomal RNA". It matches the Rfam family "Bacterial small subunit ribosomal RNA", at positions 29 to 523 of the family's 1533-position model. The record is from RNAcentral.